This 520-nucleotide ribosomal RNA is filed under the name Myrmecophilus kinomurai. RNAcentral describes it as "partial 16S ribosomal RNA". It matches the Rfam family "Bacterial large subunit ribosomal RNA", at positions 1811 to 2609 of the family's 2925-position model. The record is from RNAcentral. Lineage: Eukaryota; Metazoa; Arthropoda; Insecta; Orthoptera; Myrmecophilidae.
AAACAUGGCGGUUUGAUUAUUAAUUUAACGUCUGACCUGCCCACUGAUAUUGAAGGGCCGCAGUAUUUUGACUGUGCAAAGGUAGCAUAAUCAUUAGGUUCUUGAUUAGAAUCUGGUAUGAAAGGUUUAACGAAAUAUUAACUGUCUCUGUUUGAUGUAUUUAAUUUAACUUUUUAGUAAAAAGGCUAAUAUUUAAAUGAGGGACGAGAAGACCCUAUAGAGCUUGAUAGUUGUUUUAUGGCAUUUAGAUAGUUUUUGAAUAAUUGUUGUUAUGAUAACUGUUUUACUGGGGCGGUACUAAGAUAAAUUUAACUCUUGUUUUGUUAAUAAAGAUAGUUAGAUAAUUGAAUCAUUCUAAUUGAUUUUAGAUAAAGUUACCUUAGGGAUAACAGCGUAAUUUAUUUGGAGAGUCCUUAUUGAUAAAUAUGUUUGCGACCUCGAUGUUGAAUUAAGAAUUCAGGGGGAUGGAGCAGUUUCCGUUGAGAGUCUGUUCGACUCUAAAAUUCUUACGUGAUCUGAG